Molecule: ribosomal RNA, 446 nt
Filed under: uncultured bacterium
Lineage: Bacteria
Description: partial 16S ribosomal RNA
Rfam family: Bacterial small subunit ribosomal RNA
Source: RNAcentral
CCUACGGGAGGCAGCAGUCGAGAAUCAUUCACAAUGGGGGAAACCCUGAUGGUGCGACGCCGCGUGGGGGAAUGAAGGUCUUCGGAUUGUAAACCCCUGUCAUGUGGGAGCAAAUUAAAAAGAUAGUACCACAAGAGGAAGAGACGGCUAACUCUGUGCCAGCAGCCGCGGUAAUACAGAGGUCUCAAGCGUUGUUCGGAAUCACUGGGCGUAAAGCGUGCGUAGGCUGUUUCGUAAGUCGUGUGUGAAAGGCGCGGGCUCAACCCGCGGACGGCAGAUGAUACUGCGAGACUAGAGUAAGGGAGGGGGAACCGGAAUGCUCGGUGUAGCAGUGAAAUGCGUAGAUAUCGAGAGGAACACUCGUGGCGAAGGCGGGUUCCUGGACAUUAACUGACGCUGAGGCACGAAGGCCAGGGGAGCGAAAGGGAUUAGAUACCCCAGUAGUC